GACGAACGCUGGCGGCGUGCUUAACACAUGCAAGUCGAACGGAAAGGCCCUGCUUUUGUGGGGUGCUCGAGUGGCGAACGGGUGAGUAACACGUGAGUAACCUGCCCUUGACUUUGGGAUAACUUCAGGAAACUGGGGCUAAUACCGGAUAGGAGCUCCUGCUGCAUGGUGGGGGUUGGAAAGUUUCGGCGGUUGGGGAUGGACUCGCGGCUUAUCAGCUUGUUGGUGGGGUAGUGGCUUACCAAGGCUUUGACGGGUAGCCGGCCUGAGAGGGUGACCGGCCACAUUGGGACUGGGAUACGGCCCAGACUCCUACGGGAGGCAGCAGUGGGGAAUAUUGCACAAUGGGCGGAAGCCUGAUGCAGCAACGCCGCGUGCGGGAUGACGGCCUUCGGGUUGUAAACCGCUUUCGCCUGUGACGAAGCGUGAGUGACGGUAAUGGGUAAGAAGCACCGGCUAACUACGUG
This 467-nucleotide ribosomal RNA is filed under the name uncultured bacterium. RNAcentral describes it as "partial 16S ribosomal RNA". It matches the Rfam family "Bacterial small subunit ribosomal RNA", at positions 28 to 507 of the family's 1533-position model. The record is from RNAcentral.